Molecule: ribosomal RNA, 274 nt
Filed under: uncultured bacterium
Lineage: Bacteria
Description: partial 16S ribosomal RNA
Rfam family: Bacterial small subunit ribosomal RNA
Source: RNAcentral
AUACGGAGGGUCCAAGCGUUAUUCGGAAUCAUUGGGUUUAAAGGGUCUGCAGGCGGUCAAUUAAGUCAGAGGUGAAAGCCCAUCGCUCAACGAUGGAACUUCCUUUGAUACUGGUCGACUUGAGUUAUACGGAAGUAGAUAGAAUAAGUAGUGUAGCGGUGAAAUGCAUAGAUAUUACUUAGAAUACCGAUUGCGAAGGCAGUCUACUACGUAUAUACUGACGCUGAGGGACGAAAGCGUGGGGAGCGAACAGGAUUAGAAACCCUAGUAGUCC